RNAcentral lists this ribosomal RNA (488 nucleotides) under uncultured bacterium. RNAcentral's name for it is "partial 16S ribosomal RNA". It matches the Rfam family "Bacterial small subunit ribosomal RNA", at positions 28 to 507 of the family's 1533-position model. The record is from RNAcentral.
GAUGAACGCUAGCGGCAGGCCUAAUACAUGCAAGUCGGACGGGAUCCAUUGAUAGCUUGCUAUCAAUGGUGAGAGUGGCGCACGGGUGCGUAACGCGUGUGCAACCUGUCUCCAUCAGGGGGAUAGCCUCGCGACAGAGAGAUUAACACCGCAUAAUAUCAACAGUUCGCAUGUUCAGUUGAUUAACGAUUUUUAGGAUGGAGAUGGGCUCGCGUGACAUUCGCUAGUUGGUAGGGUAACGGCUUACCAAGGCGACGAUGUCUAGGGGCUCUGAGAGGAGAAUCCCCCACAAUGGUACUGAGACACGGACCAGAAUCCUACGGGAGGCAGCAGUAAGGAAUACUGGUCAAUGGGCGGAAGCCUGAACCAGCCAUGCCGCGUGCAGGAGGACUGCCCUAUGGGUUGUAAACUGCUUUUGUCCAAGAAUAAACCUAAAUACGAGGAUUUAGCUGAAUGUACUGGAAGAAUAAGGAUCGGCUAACUCCGUG